AUGGACAUCGGCUCGGUGCCUUCCCAGGACGACGACGCGGCGGCCGCCACGCCGCGGGAGGCCACGCUGGGGCGCCACCUCGCGCGGCGCCUGGCCGAGGUGGGCGCGCGCGACGUCUUCGCAGUGCCGGGGGACUUCAACCUCACGCUCCUCGACGAGCUCGAGUCCGAGCUGCCGUCCGGCGGCGGGGUGCGGCUCGUCGGGUGCUGCAACGAGCUCAACGCCGCCUACGCCGCCGACGGCUACGCCCGAGCGCGCGCCGGCGGGGUCGGCGCCUGCGUGGUCACCUUCACCGUCGGAGCGCUCAGCGCCAUCAACGCCGUCGCCGGCGCCUUCAGCGAGAACCUCCCCGUCGUCUGCAUCUCCGGGGGGCCCAACAGCAACGACUACGGCAGCAACCGGAUCCUGCACCACACCAUCGGCCUCCCCGAUUUCUCGCAGGAGCUCCGCUGCUUCCAGAACGUCACCUGCUACCAGGCAGUGGUGAACAACUUGGAGGAUGCACAUGAACAGAUUGACACAGCCAUCUCCACUGCAUUGAAGGAGAGCAAACCUGUUUACAUCAGCAUCAGCUGCGACCUCCCUUCGAUCCCUCAUCCUACCUUCAGCAACCAUCCUGUCCCUUUCUUUCUCUCCCCAAGACUUUCAAACCAGAUGAGCCUGGAAGCAGCAGUGGAAGCCGCUGUGGCUUUCUUGAACAAAUCGGUCAAGCCGGUCCUCGUUGGCGGAGCCAAGAUGAGGGUGGCCAAAGCACGCAAAGCCUUCGUAGAGCUGGCUGAUGCAUGCGGUUAUCCGGUCGCGGUGAUGCCUUCUGCCAAGGGGUUUUGUAGAAAUUGUAGGAUGGGUAAUAUUUGUUGGGGAAACGCUUGUACUCGGUGCGCCGGCCGAAACUUCGGCCGCUCGCUCGCACAGCCGCACCUUUUUCCUUUUUUCCCCUUUCUCCACACUGGCCCUACGCACCGUCUCCCUCUGUGCCUUAUCUUCUUCCAGUGA
RNAcentral lists this ribosomal RNA (993 nucleotides) under Triticum aestivum (bread wheat). RNAcentral describes it as "partial small subunit ribosomal RNA". Lineage: Eukaryota; Viridiplantae; Streptophyta; Magnoliopsida; Poales; Poaceae. The record is from RNAcentral.